RNAcentral lists this ribosomal RNA (507 nucleotides) under uncultured bacterium. Its description in RNAcentral is "partial 16S ribosomal RNA". It matches the Rfam family "Bacterial small subunit ribosomal RNA", at positions 28 to 507 of the family's 1533-position model. The record is from RNAcentral.
GACGAACGCUGGCGGCGUGCCUAAUACAUGCAAGUCGAACGCUUCUUUCCUCCCGAGUGCUUGCACUCAAUUGGAAAGAGGAGUGGCGGACGGGUGAGUAACACGUGGGUAACCUACCCAUCAGAGGGGGAUAACACUUGGAAACAGGUGCUAAUACCGCAUAACAGUUUAUGCCGCAUGGCAUAAGAGUGAAAGGCGCUUUCGGUUGUCGCUUAUGGAUGGACCCGCGGUGCAUUAGCUAGUUGGUGAGGUAACGGCUCACCAAGGCCACGAUGCAUAGCCGACCUGAGAGGGUGAUCGGCCACACUGGGACUGAGACACGGCCAGACUCCUACGGGAGGCAGCAGUAGGGAAUCUUCGGCAAUGGACGAAAGUCUGACCGAGCAACGCCGCGUGAGUGAAGAAGGUUUUCGGAUCGUAAAACUCUGUUGUUAGAGAAGAACAAGGACGUUAGUAACUGAACGUCCCCUGACGGUAUCUAACCAGAAAGCCACGGCUAACUACGUG